UUUCAAUUUUGUAGUAGUAGUGGAGUGUGGCAUUAAUGUUUAAUUUAAACAUUAAUUCUAUAGCAUUUGUUUCCCAAGACGCCAAGAGGCGCUGAAAACAGAUGCACAGCAAGGUAGCGUUGAAAUUUGUUGCACACCAAUAGAUGGCCAUAGAAUCGCGACGUAGAAGAAGAGAAUCAAUUAGAUUGUUUAAUGGCGUAGGUUUUCGUAGUUUUCGACGCGAUGUGUGUUAAUUAGUUGAGAAACAUUGUCGUAAUCGGAGUUCGGAACGGAUUUCCAUAAUGUACACGUGUUGUAACCGACCAGCACAAAAUUGAUAAAUUUUUUUCAUUUAUCACAAAUUGGUUAUCAACAGCAUUUCCAAUCUAUAGCAGCAGAAGCCAAGCUGUUCAGUCCACGGAAGACCAUUGUAAUUGCAGUUAAUGAGUUAUACAACAACUUUGUUGCCAAUAACAACAUGCUGCAUUUAUUUUUGUCCACAGCCAAAAUAAAAUGCAACUUCUUUCACAGGAGUAACACAUUGUGUGGUUUACUACCGGUUAGUGGUUAGCUACCAUAAUCUCCUGAUUGUUUGAGUCUGACAAUAAGCAAUACCAUAUUGUUAUUUGUUUCUUCCCUAGAUGUUAGCUUGUUGUGAUUUUAGACCACAGUAUAGAUUGAGCCUUUCUAUCUGUGUCAAACCAGUUAUAUCAACUCACUUGUUGUUGACACCCCUGGAGAUAUUACCAAACUUUCGAAAUGGUUGAAGCAGGCACCCAUGAUAUGUCGAUUCAAUUUCAGUGCUAACACUGUAAGGAUGGUAACCUGUUAUUAAGUUACACCACCUGUUUCAGUUGGCCAUAGGAUAGAUAUCCACUUCAAUGGGGAACCUAUAUGUCUAUCCCAUUUUUACACCAAAAGAGUGAUACUCUUUAAUGUUUGCAGUGUGUUUGUCACAUUCAAUGAAUCCAUAUCUUCUCAUGGUAAAAAAAAAAAAUAUUUUUAUGUUAGAGUUUUCAAACAUUUUAAGUAAGCACUUCUUUCACGUUUUAUACUUUUUUAUGCCCUAAAAUUGAUGGACUGAAUAAUGUCAGAUUGCAAAAAAAAAAAAACACUGGAACCCUUCUGCAUGACUUUGAACCACAAGAUAUUGAUCUUUUUUACAUUCGCCUUUUUGGUUGAACGGUAAAGAGUUUCACGGUUCACUGUUUUAUCCGAAAAUCGUAUAUCUACGAAACGUUGGCAUUAUUUGUCUAUGAACAGAUAUGCUGAUGACUGGAAUCAAUUGGAUCAGCUGAAAACAUAUGUUGAGACAUCUAUGCAACAUUGUACUUGGAUAUGUGUCAUUCCACUGGUAGUGGCUAUCAAACUUGGAAUCGCGUGUCUUCAACCGACUCACCUCAUCUAGGCCUGACCAGUAUCGGCCCGAAGAAAGUAGUCAACUAGUCGCACGUCAGAUAACAAAUCCUGCUAAGUAAACCAUAUGAUAAGGAAGUGAACAUCAAUCAUUGGAGCGUGAGUCUAAUGGUCUAAUGAAAAAUAAGGAUUCAUUUGAUUACCGACUUGACCUGCACGAGGAUUUUAGCCAUAUCGGAUAUCGGAAAGGAACACCUUUACCGAACAUAAUGUUCUUCUAACGUAAAUUAUUGGAUGUUCAUUCUAUGUCGGAUUUAGAUUUCAUUUAUAACACCAUAGAAGGAUUGCACACACUAAUGUUUUAAAGUUAAUAAACGUAAUAAAUGGAAAAUGGGGUUUCAGAAUGAGGCGGGAGUUUUUGUCAAUGCUGAAGUUUGGAAACACGAUCGGAAAUACCCAUGAAAUGAAAAACAUUCUCUCACGUUAUGGUAUUUGUCGUACAUAAAUUGAAGUGCAUAUCUGGGCUCCCUUCUUUUCUGUGGCCCCGUUUCCCCUUGA
Daphnia magna is the source of this 1893-nucleotide long non-coding RNA. RefSeq lists it as uncharacterized. Lineage: Eukaryota; Metazoa; Arthropoda; Branchiopoda; Diplostraca; Daphniidae. The transcript is spliced from 6 exons. The record is from RefSeq and is a predicted model, not a curated record.